Molecule: transfer RNA, 76 nt
Filed under: Alphaproteobacteria bacterium
Lineage: Bacteria; Pseudomonadati; Pseudomonadota; Alphaproteobacteria
Description: tRNA-Lys
Rfam family: tRNA
About the family: Transfer RNA (tRNA) molecules are approximately 80 nucleotides in length.
Source: RNAcentral
GGGUGCAUAGCUCAGUUGGUAGAGCAGCUGACUCUUAAUCAGCGGGUCGCAGGUUCGAAUCCUGCAUCACCCACCA